RNAcentral lists this ribosomal RNA (253 nucleotides) under uncultured bacterium. RNAcentral's name for it is "partial 16S ribosomal RNA". It matches the Rfam family "Bacterial small subunit ribosomal RNA", at positions 524 to 776 of the family's 1533-position model. The record is from RNAcentral.
UACGUAGGGGGCAAGCGUUGUCCGGAUUUACUGGGCGUAAAGAGCGCGCAGGCGGUCGUUCAAGUCGCGUGUGAAAGCCCCCGGCUCAACUGGGGAGGGUCACGCGAUACUGAUCGACUCGAAGGCAGGAGAGGGUAGUGGAAUUCCCGGUGUAGUGGUGAAAUGCGUAGAUAUCGGGAGGAACACCAGUGGCGAAGGCGACUACCUGGCCUGUUCUUGACGCUGAGACGCGAAAGCUAGGGGAGCAAACGGG